CCGCGCUCCCGCCGGGUGUCCCGGGCGGAGAUGGGCUGGGUUAGACGGGGCAGGGCAAACGCCGACCCCGCCGUCCCGAGAGCUUCCCCCGUCCCGCCGGGGCAGGCGCCUCACCUGGUGCUCCUCCAGCUCCUCCACCAGUACCUGGGGACAGAGGGACACACAGACACACACAAAGGACGUGAGUCCGGCGACCGCAGCGCACCGGCUCCGCCGCCCCGUCCCGUCCAGUCCCGUCCCGUCCCGUCGCCGCCCGCCCGGCCCGGCCGGAGCGCCGGCUCCGCGCUCACCUGGGCGGAUUUCUUGCAGGGUCCGGACUGCAGGAACCGUGCGAUCAGAAAUGCCAAAUCCAGCUGUGGAUGGAACACCUAGGAAAAGGGGUGGCUCUGUGUCCUUAUGUGCUCUGGGCUCUGCCAGCCGAAGGACUGGGGAAAUGAUAUCAGUGUCAGGUCCAUCCUCAGAUCUCUGAAUUCCAACUUUGUUCCUCAGAGUGCCUGGAACCCCCAAGUUUUAUUGCAGCAAAUUUACUACUGGGUGUAAGUGACCAGGUUUUUAGGGCCAAAUCCUGCAUUUUUGGCUUCUCCUGGAAGCCUGGGCACAAAGCAUCUGACUGCAGCUGGGAAUUCAUCACCUCUCUCCCUGGACAUGCAAAUUUUACUGGAACUCCCUCAGCUAACUUCCUGAAUUUUUGCCAUGUUAAUAGGUGCUGAUGCAGAUGUAAGAAAUAUUUUAAUUUCUCUCAGCAAUGAAAUGAAACAGAACAUGACCAGACCUCCAGAAGAAGGAAAAAUGUGUUUGCUGGAGGGCAGGAAAACCCUGGAGCUGCUGAUAACUACAAGUCAUUCUGAUCAAAUCAGAAAAAGUGGAUUAAAAGGAAUAAGGUUAUGAAGCAUGAAAAAAUACUCCAAAACAACUAUGGAGGAGGGAAGAGGAAUUUCUGCUCUGACCCUGGGCACAGCCGGCUCAAAAUGGAACCAUGACUUGGGGAAGUACUUCUGGUCAGCACCUCCGUGAUGGUGGAUUUAUAUGAAGGAAGAAACCAAACCAAGCAAAAUUCCAGCCCGCUGGAAAGCUGAGGCUCAGCCUGAGGCUUAGGAACAGCCCACCUCCACUCCAGCUGUGUUCUGAGGGGAGCGGCGGCCCCGGAUCCAUGAAACAGCAAAACUCGUUUGUGGUCCCGUAGAGCAGCCUCUGCCAGCGCCCCUGGAGCCAGGGUGAAACCCGAGAGCUGCCGCAAUCCAAACCUUCUCCACAGCUCCUUUUAUCUUCCUGGGGGGAAAACAAACAGCGCAGAAGCUGGAGCUUUGUGGCUGGGAUGUCGCACAUCUGGUUUGAGCUCCAAGAAAUGCACUUCCACCCCCUCCCCGAAUUGUUCAUGUUAAACAAACAAAACCCCAGCGAUUUUGUGAGAUUUUGGCUCUGGGAUAACUUUGGAGCAGCUUUUCCUGAGAAUUCCAGGCUUGUGCUGCACUUCAUCCCCAGUGGAAGCAGCACACCUCACUUGCAGGAGGGAGGCACUUCCAAAGGGGAACAGCCAUGCCCUGGAACCCCCUUACUGGGAAUGCUGCUGGGAGUGGGAGGGGAGAGGGGUCUUGACCACUCUGUGUUUAGGUUUCAAUCCAGCAUUUUUCCCUGUGUAAUUUAUGCUUCCUCUCCCCCUUUUAAGAAUGUCUGGAAUUGUUUAAGAUGUGUCCAAUUGUAUUAAGUUGCCUUUGAGAGCUUUAUGGUGUCAAUUGGAUUUCCACUCUUAGGAACAGAGCUUUCCAAUUUGCUGUUUUUCCUUUUUCUAUCACAUCAGCACCAACUUCCUUUCAGUGCUUUCAGGUGUUACCUCAGCUUGAAGUUCACACUAAUCCCUGGACAUCACUUCCAUUUGACCCUGUUCCAGUGAUUCCCUGGUUGGUGCUGCAGGAGGGAGUGUCAUUCCUCUGGGGUCCUGUCCCACUGGCCCCUCCCUGUCAUCUUCCAGCAGAAGUGGAUAAAUCAGUGCAGAUCAUGGAAUCACAGAGUGGUUUGGGUGGGAAGGGACCUUAGAGCCCAUCUCAUUCCCUGCCAUGGGCAGGGACACCUUUCACAAGACCAGAUUGCUCCAAGCCCCGUCCAGCCUGGCCUUGGACACUUCCAGGGACGGGGCAGCCACAGCUUCUCUGGGAACAGAUGAAAGGUGAGGGUGAAGGGGUUAGGAGCAGUUCUGAUCCUCUCCCUAUCCCCUCCUUGACUCACCCUAGCCCAGUCCCAAUCACACCCCUUCCAGAGCAGGGGACAACAGCCACACGAGUCACCAGUGACAUCUGUCCCCUUCUCCAUGCUCACUUGUGACCACCUCCAGCUCCUCCGGGCACUGGGGCAGUCUGGAAGCCACGCUGACAUUGUUCUCUCAAAGGACAGAGCUCCUCGAAAGCCGCCCAGCGCCGGCCCGGGGUGUUCGCAGCUCCUGGAGCCCUUCCAGGGCAUCAUCGAGUUUCAGAGCGGGGGUGGGGGGUGCUCCCGGCAGCUGCACGGGAAAGGAGCAGCACCACUGAGACAGCCAGAGGGAGGAGCCAUCGUUUCCAUUGCAGACAUUCAAUUUUCUUCCUCCUUCAUCAGAUUAACACCAGUGUCACUCCAUUAACUGCCAGGGAGCUGCUCUUGAUCUGAAAAUCAGACCUUUCUGAGUGCCACAGAAUCCCAGACUGGUUUGGGUUGGAAGAGACCUUAAAUAUCCUUUGGUUCUGCCCCCUGCCAUGGGCAGGGACACCUCCCACUCUCCCAGAUUGUUCCAAGCCCCAUUCAGCCUGGCCUUGGACACUUCCAGGGAUCCAGGGGCAGCCACAGCUUCUCUGGGCACCCUGUGCCAGGGCCUCCCCACCCUCACGGGGAAGAAUUUCUUCCCAAUAUUCAAACUAAAUCUGUCCUCCACCUUAAAGCCCUUUCCCUUUGUCCUGUCCCUCCAUCCCUUGUUCAAGGGCCCUCUCCAGCUCUCCUAAAGCCUCUUCAGGCACUGGAAGGGGGCUCUAAGCUCUCACUAGAGCUUUUCUUUCCCAGGUGAACACCCCCAGCUCUCCCAGCCUGGCUCCAGAGCAGAGGGGUUUUCUUAUUUUUUUGUGUACAGUCACUUCCCUCAAAGAAGCAAAGGUAAAUGUGGGAUGAACCUUCAAAACCCUUCCUUUUAUGUGCUUGGAGGGGUUGUUUUAUUUUAUUUUCCCCACUUCCCCCUUUCUUUUACAUCCCAAGGACCUCACUGUGUUUGCCAUUCUCUUGCUUGCUGAGGCAGCAGUGCCUUUUCCCUCUGUGCUGCUCCAGCACGGUGCUGAUGGUGGAGACCAGGAUGAAGUCUGGAGGUGCCUCCUCUGAUUUCCUGGCCCUCCCAGGACAGUGACCAGUGUUUUCAAAGUGGUUUUCAGUGGGUUUAUUGUUCUGAGCAAACAAAAGCAAAUGCUUGCCCAGUUCUGUUGAAGAUCCUGUGAGGACACUGUGUGAGGACACUGUGCUGCUCUGGGAGCCUGCACCAAAAGCUGGAUCAUGGAAUUACAGGAACAUUUAGGGUGGAAAAGCUCUCCAAGCUCAUUGAGUCCAACUGUUCUCCCAGCACUGACAAGGCCACCACUGGCCAUGUCCCCAAGUGCCACAUCUACAGUUAACCCCCCCUGGGAGGUGACUCCAACCCUUUUUUCCCUAAUAUCCAACCUAAACCUUGUCUGGUGCACCCUGAGGCUGUCUCCUCUCAUCCUGACCAGCUGCCUGGACACCUCACCAUGCCAGGGUGUUGCCAACACCACUCAAAUCUCUUCCCAUGACAUCACCUCAGAACCAUCACUACCUUCACACCCAUGAAUCUCUUCACCUUUGCAUCUUCAAGGUCCCCAGUUGUUAUGAUGAAUAAUGAUAACCAGAUCCACAGCAAUCUGGGGGUGUUUCCUAACCAGCAUCAGACCCAGUAACACCUGGAACCCAGGGAAAGAUCAGCAAGGACCCUGGGGAAGGCACUUUCUCCACAAAUUCCAAAUAAACCUGAGAGUUUGAAACCUCUCCUUUCCAGACAAAAUAAGCCAAGCUUGGGAGCUGCCAUGGAGCUGGCUUUGGAUUGUGUCUAGACACCAGGAGAGCUGUGGAGGAGGGUUUGGCAUAAACCAGACAAUCCAUUCAGUUGUGCAACUUUCUCAAUACCCCAUGGCUCCAAAAAGUUAUGAAUUUGAGCAAAAUGUUCUUGGGCAAUUUUCUGUACUUAUUUGAAAGAGGAAUUUGAUUAGAACAAUAGUUAUAGAAUUAAGAACAACUCCCACCCUGGCACUCAAAAAGAAAUAACCAAAACCAAACACUCAGUUGUAUGCUCUGUGUAACAACCUCUGGACUCAGAUGGAGAGACACAACUUGGGAUCAGAAUGACCUCAUUCCAAAGGGUGUUUGUACCUUGGCAGAUGGAUGGAUCCUGUGCUAAGGAAAUGUCAACUGUACUCAGGGUCUGCUGCUUCAAUCACAAUGCUUGAGACACUCAGUGACUGGAGGCUGGAGCCAAAGAGAGGGAGGAGCCGUGGUCCCACUGGCACCAUGGCUGGGAGAAGGGGCUCUUUAUAGAGAAACCACUGGGGUAGGAAAUAACACAAAUCUAAAAUAUUUCCAACAUGCAUUCUCUCCCUGGAGCAGGCCCAUUGGGAUUUCUCACUGACUGCUGGCUAAACUUAUGGAAUCAUGGAAUCCUGGAAUGAUUUGGAUGGGAGGGGAAUUUAAGAGAUCAUCUAAUCCACCCCCUGGAUUAGAUGAUGUCCACCCUAUGGGCAGGGACACCUUCCCCUUUCUCAUCUGCUCCAAGCCCCAUCCAACCUGGCCUUGGACACUUCCAGGGAUCCAGGGGCAGCCACAGCUUCUCUGAGCACCCUGUGCCGGGGCCUGCCCACCCCACAGGGAAGAAUUCCUUCCCAAUAUCCCAUCUAACCCUAACUUCCAUUUACAAUAAUUUCCCCUUCUCCUGUCAUUUUGUGCCUGUAUGAAAGGUCCCUCUCUCUCCUCCUUACGGGCUCCCUUAGGCACUGGAAGGGGCUCCAAGGUCUCCAGAGCUCUUUUCCAGGCUGAACACCCCCAGCUCUCCCAGCCUGUCUUUGUGGAGUGGAGAUUUGGUGAAUUAUUUUUAGAUGUCAGUCAGGAUGACAUUUCAACUAUUGUUGGACCAUGUUCCAGCUGGGAUGUUCAGUCUCCCUGCUUUUACCCACAUCUCAGCACACUCCACCAGGCACAGGGAAUCCAGUUACUGCUCUAUCCCUUUUCACUGGAGGAGAGACCAGAGCAUGGCCCAGAAUCUCUGCUGGAUCAAGGGAAUACAGUGCCAAGGAAAAGGCCCCCAGAACUCCCUCACCUUCACUGCUGAGGAAGCUGGAGCCCAGUGAACCCUGAGUGUUUGUACAGGACAGGUAGAGCAGCAGGAAUAACAUCCCCCAGUGCCUCAGGCCUGGAAAAUGAAAUCCACAUUUAGACAUCCUCUAGUGGCCCUGGGGGACUCAUCCUGAGCCCCACUGCAUCCAGGACACUCUCACUGAGGGGCUCUUUGGGGUUUGGACACAAAACAUUUGAGCUCUUGGAUUGCUGGGCUGAGGAACAAUUGAAUGGGAGAGAGGUUUCUGCAUUGCAGACAUUUUUCUUUUUAUUAAAUAUAUCCUGUAGAUAUAUCCUGGAUGUGAAGAGACUUUCUAUAAAAGCAGGUUUUAGCAGGAGUUGAUAAAGUUGCACAAAAAAGCUGUAACAAGAGAACUGGGACUUAACCCCAGGUCACUGGUCUGGUCCAGUUCUUUCCCAGAAUGAGGAGGCCUGGAUUAAUGGGAAGUCACACAACUGAGGCAGAGAGGGGCUUCAGCCCCAGCCAAAAGCCCAAAUGGGCUCUCCCUCUCCCACUGCAGCUCUCCUGGAAUUUGGGACCUUUCCAGCAGCACAAGCAACAAACCACAAUCAGCUUUUGAGGAGUCUUUUUUAUUAAGAUAAAUCCAGCAAAAUUCCUAACAGUGGGUACAUACAACCAACCUGCCCUUUUUGAAAAGAAAUGUUUGUAUUUCAUUUAAAAACAGGAUUACACUUUUAUUUAUUUAUUUUUCUUUUUUUUUUCAAAACUGACAAAAUAAAAUUACAUUUGGGAAACAACAGAU
Long non-coding RNA from Serinus canaria (Common canary), 6110 nucleotides. RefSeq lists it as uncharacterized. Lineage: Eukaryota; Metazoa; Chordata; Aves; Passeriformes; Fringillidae. The record is from RefSeq and is a predicted model, not a curated record. The transcript is spliced from 6 exons.